This 553-nucleotide ribosomal RNA is filed under the name uncultured freshwater bacterium. RNAcentral describes it as "bacterial SSU rRNA". It matches the Rfam family "Bacterial small subunit ribosomal RNA", at positions 8 to 607 of the family's 1533-position model. The record is from RNAcentral.
AGAGUUUGAUCCUGGCUCAGAACGAACGCUGGCGGCAUGCCUAACACAUGCAAGUCGAACGAGACCUUCGGGUCUAGUGGCGCACGGGUGCGUAACGCGUGGGAAUCUGCCCUUUGCUUCGGAAUAACAGUUAGAAAUGACUGCUAAUACCGGAUGAUGUCUUCGGACCAAAGAUUUAUCGGCAAAGGAUGAGCCCGCGUAGGAUUAGGUAGUUGGUGGGGUAAAGGCCUACCAAGCCGACGAUCCUUAGCUGGUCUGAGAGGAUGAUCAGCCACACUGGGACUGAGACACGGCCCAGACUCCUACGGGAGGCAGCAGUGGGGAAUAUUGGACAAUGGGCGCAAGCCUGAUCCAGCAAUGCCGCGUGAGUGAUGAAGGCCUUCGGGUCGUAAAGCUCUUUUACCAGGGAUGAUAAUGACAGUACCUGGAGAAUAAGCUCCGGCUAACUCCGUGCCAGCAGCCGCGGUAAUACGGAGGGAGCUAGCGUUGUUCGGAAUUACUGGGCGUAAAGAGUACGUAGGCGGUUAUUCAAGUCAGAGGUGAAAGCCCGGNG